GCGGUGGGCGGCUGCCUCGGCCCCGGAUGGCUGUCUCCACAGAGGGCUGGCACUGGACCCUGCCUGGGGCACCCCACUUGAACCCCUACUCCCGGCCUCAGCUCUGGGACUCUGAACCCAGCACCUGCAAAGAGCCUGGCUGUGGGGACCCUUGGCUGCAGCAUCACAUUUAACCCUCCUUGGAAUGCUACAGGGAGCAUCCAGCAGACGGGAAGACAGAUGAUGCUGGAGACUGAGGAGCGACCUGCUGGAAGGAGAACAGUCCUUGGGGCGGAAUUCUGAGUGGGAUCCAACACAUUCAACAGCCGAUUGUGGAAUGAACAAACAACAGCUCAGCGCUUCCUUCUCCAAUGGGAUUAACUCUGCUUUCUCCUGCCCAGAGGGGGGGUUGGCCGCAGAGGAGCCAGGACAGUGCUCUGUCCCCUGUGUUCCAGUCCACAUCCCCCUCACCCCCGCCUGUCCUCAUGGUCUACGUGCCCAUGGGGAUACACUGGCCUGUGCAUUGCUUCCUGCUGGGUCUCAGACUCGGGGCUGUGGCAGAUGGGGACAGGGCCUGUCCUGGCACCAUCUGCCAAUUCCCUUUGUACUCCCAGUCCAUGAGGAAGUUGACUCUGCCCUGAAAACGACUGUUCCUGUGGUCCAUAAACAAAGGAAUGGAGAGUCAACAAUAGGCCGGGGUUGUUUCAUCUUCCUGAAUAAGCAAGCAGGUUAUUCUGAGAGCUGAUUGACAUAUGCAUGGGCAGAUGUUUUAUAAACUGCAUUCUCUACAAACUGAAGGGGCAAAUGUGAUGGAUUCCAAGGCUCCACAAGACAUUAUCAUGGUCAAUGUCCAGCAGACCAGAUAUGGGGUGAUCAAUUGUUUGAAGGUAAAAGGUAAGAGCCAUGAAGCCAAGUUACAAGAACAUCUGUGUUUACUGGGACAUUGGAGAGCCUUAGCUCAUGGAUAUAUAAGGCGACUUGGGCAGCAUCAGCCUUAUAGGGCUGAAAGGCAACCCCCUGGGGCAGUAUCCUUAAUGCGGCAAUUUAUUAGACAUGGUGAGAGCAGGUCACACUGUUCCUGGGAGUGGAGUGGCGUGAUCAUGGCUCACUGCAGCCUCAACCUCCUCCCCAGGUUCAGGUGAUUCUCCCACCUUAGCCUCCCGAGUAGCUGUGACUACCGGCUGGGGCCACCACGCCCAGCUAAUUUUUGUAUUUUUAGUAGAGACGGGGUUCCACCAUAUUGCCCAGGCUGGUCUCAAACUCCUGGCCUCAAGCGAUACACCUGCCUCGGCCUACCAACAUGUUGGGAUUACAGGUGUGAUCUGGUUCUUUCUGAUUGAGGAGUCUGUCUGGGCUCAGGAGGAGGGUCUUGUCUGCAUAAGAAGAUGGAUGAAACUUUCUCAGUUCCUUCCUGACACCAACAAGAAGAAACAGAGUGUAGCAUAAGCACACGGAACACUGGUCAAAAGGACAGGUUCUAGUCCUCACCACACCAUGAACUGGCUGUGUGAUCUUGGGCAAGUCAUUUCUCUUCUCUGGUCCACUCAGUGUCUCCAUUUGACAUACUGGAGAAUUGAAUUUAUCUGUCUCUAGGAUCUUUCCCUUUCACCUCCUUCCAUGGUUUUCUAAGUACCAUCUCUUUAUUUCUUACUCGCACACAAUCUCACCUCUGCCUUCUAGCUAGAAUGCAUGUUUCUGAGGCCAAGCAUCUUCCCCGAGUGCUCCCUAGUAAGUGCCUCACACAUGUGGGAUCAGAGCCUGUGGUUGCAUAGCAGUAAAAUUAGCAUUACCUGCAGGUGGGGGUGAGGGGUUUCACCCCAUCCUCCAGCUUCUUAGAGGAGAAAAUAUUUUAAUGGUUGGAAACAACCUGGAUCUACACAAAAGGGCAUGAAAACAGCCACUUAAAUUCUACGUGCACUUGGCACUGCAAAGAUCAGAAAACUCCCAUCAAGAUAGAUGAUACGAAGAAAAAAAGCAUGAGCACUUUGCUUUAAUUUAACUCAAGAUGACACCUCCAUCAUCCCGUGGUCUGUAGUCUCGCGAGGGUCCCCGCUCCCUUUUGCACAUGCGUGGUGUGUGUUCACACGGACUCUUCUACAGCUUUGCAUCGCUGGGUUCACAGCAUUCCUCCUCUCCCUCAUUGGUUCCACACAUUCAGCCAUAGCUGUUUGUGACUUCUCUCCUUCUGCAAUUGUUUGAAAACAGUGUCAGAGCAUGGCUCCUUUAUCUUGCUGUGAUUGCUUUAUUUAUUUAUUUAUUUUUUUGAGAUGGAGUCUUGCUGUGUUGCCCAGGCUAGAGUGCAGUGGCACGAUCUCAGCUCACUGCAACCUUUGCCUCCUGGGUUCAAGUGAUUCUCCUGUCUCAGCCUCCCGAGUAACUGGGAUUAUAGGCAUGCACUACCACGCCUGGCUAAUUUUUUGUAUUUUUAGUAGAGACAGGGUUUCACCAUGUUGGCCAGGCUGCUCUUGAACUCCUGACCUCAAGUGAUCCGCCCACCUUGGCCUCCCAAAGUGCCGGGAUUACAGACAUGAGCCACAGUGCCUGGCCAUUGCUGCGAUUGGUUCUAAGAGUCUUUCUGCCCUUUUUUCUCUCUUCCUGCUAUGCUAACCCUCACGGGACUCAGAUUUCUUGGGAAAGUUGCACAGGAAUCAUCUACUUUGCAGGGUUAGAUAUCAGCCUUGCCUUGAAAGGCUGAGCAUCAUAAACAGUAACACACAGUCUGUUUUCUCUCCCAUACUCCCACCCUCCCACACCUCAUACUGAAUAUUUAAGAGGUAUUGAGCUUUGGGGAAAAGAAGGGAGGAGAUGUUGGGGAGGAGGUGUUCCUUGAUAUGAGAAAGCCCAUUUCCAGAGAAUCAGAAGACUUGAAUUCAAUUCUGCUGUCAGGGGUCAUGGGGAAGUCACUUUAUCAUCUGGGACUCAGUUUCCCCAUAUGAAAAAUUGUCAUGAAAAUAAGUAAACCAUAAAGUCCAUUUUAAACUCCAAAAUAGAGAGACCCUCCCUCUCCUUUUCUAAGACCUUACUUAGGGUGAGGUCCCAUCAAGGUUCUUUAUAACGUACCCCUUUUAUUUAUUUGAGAUAGAAUCUUGCCCUUGUUGCCCAAACUGGAGUGCAGUGGCACCAUCUUAGCUCACUGCAGCCUUGAACUCCGGGGCUCAAGCAACCCUCCCACCUUAGCCUCCAGAAUAGCUGGGACUAUGGGCAUGUACCAUGCCCAGCUAUUUUUUUUUCCAUAGAGAUGGGGUCUCCCUGUGUUGCCCAGGCUGGUCUCGAACUCCUGGCCUCAACUGAUCCUCCUGCCUCGGCCUCCCAAAGUGCUGGGAUUAUAGGCACGAGCCAACAGUCCCAGUCAUGCACUCCAUUUAAUCCUCAAAACAGCCCUUUGAGGGUGGUGUUAUUAGCCUCAUUUUACAAAUGGGGCAACCAAGGUUCAGAGAGGUUAAUGGACCUGCCCAGUGAAAAAGUUUAUGAAGCCAGAGACCAAAUCCAGAAUUUUCUAACUCCAGCACCCAUGUUUCUAACUCUAGAGAUUUUUCUAACUCUACCCUCUCAAAUAUGAUGAGACUUUGGUGGUACUCUCAGGAAAACUGCUGAGAAAAUGUUGCUUGAUUUCCCUGCCCCCAUUUGCACAAUGGGUUCUAUGUCAUGGAGAACUUUCCUUUCAAAAAAUUUCCAAAGGACAAGUGAUGCAUUAUGUCUUCCAUUUUUGGCAACUUCACACAAUAACCUUAACAGCCUCUUGGCUUCCAUCUCCCAGGGAUGGCAUUUCAAGUAUGCCUGGUCAUGGAGUGCCUGUGGUUUAAAAUUUUAAUGGAAGACCCUUACCCCCAUCUGUCUUGAUUCGCUGUUGCCCUGUCCCUGGCUUCCUGGUGGUCACUGAGCUCUGCGGGCCCCCCUUCCCCCAGCCCGUCUCCUCCUGCCAUUGAGAGGGGCUGUUCUCUUUCCCAAGCGGCAAGCCCCUGAUUCUUUUAGCACAGCCAAUGGGCUCCACUGGGGCUUUCAAGCUUGCUGGCAAUUUUGGAUGUCAGCAGCUGGGAAAAUCAAGCUUAAUAUUUCAUGACAUUACAAAGUCAGUUUGUUCUAUUUUCAUCCCAGAUAGAGUGAAAAAGCAGUGUUCUCAUCAGGAGACUCUCCCAAAAAAGUGGGAGGCAGUUGGUCUGGGAGCCACAGCAGGUUGGCGGGGAGUACUGGGCAGGCGGUCAGCAUUUGGAUGCUCUGGUUUUGGCUUGACAGCCAACUAGCAGUUGACCUUCGGCGAGUGAUUCUCUCUCUGAGCUUUGACUUCCUCCUGCACAAAUAAACGAUCUCUCAGACCUUGUCAAGAAUAACUUUAGACUUUGCUGGGAAUGCAAUAUCUUCUGACAAGGAGGAGUUGGCUGGAACAGCCUGGGCUCUGUACCUGUCCCUCAGAUGUCCUUUGGUGCUUUAGCCCAGUGACUCAUCGAUCUCCCAGAUUGAAGUUUGCUGGGAGAUUCCAACUGACCUGGAAGUUGCUGGAUUGAUGGGAAGAGAUCCUUCUAAUCUUAGAAGAAUUCUUGGAAUGGCUCAGAAAUAGAAACUCAAGAAGCAGAGGGAUUUAAUUACACAGGAGCUGGGACUUCUAGAUUAUGACAUUUAUAUGGUUUGGGUCUGUGUCCCCACCCAAAUCACAUGUCAAAUUAUAAUCCCCAAUGUUGGCGGUGGAGCCUGGUGGGAGGUGAUUGGAUCAUGUGGGUGGAUUUUCUUUUUGGUGCUGUUCUCAUGAUAGUGAGUGAAUUAUCAUAAGGUCAGGUUGUUUAAAAGUGUUUGGCACCUUCCCACUUUCUCUCUUCCUUCUAUUCUAGCCAUGGUUGAAGACAUGCCUGUUUCCCCUUCGCCAUCUGCCAUGACUGUAAGCUUCCUGAGGCCUUCCCAGUCAUGCUUCCUGUAUAGCCUGUGGAAACAUGCGCCAAUUAAAACCUCUUUUCUUUAUAAAUUACCUAGUCUCAGGUAUUUCUUUAUAGCAAUGCAAGAAUGGACAAAUACAGACAUCUUACGGAAAAAAGUUUAUCAAGUGGAAAGCUCUAUUGUGUACCCUCCUUGAAAAUAGAUGACCUGUUUUCUCAUCUUUCUCUUAGCGUGCUGUGGUCUUCACAUGCAGAAAGAGGAACAAGUUAAGUAGUGGUUGUCUUUGAAUAUUUUCUUAUUGAAUGGUUUCUGGCCUGGCUCAGUCCCCUUAACAUGUCAUCCUAAAGAAAUAACGAAAUAUCUUUUCCUUACAAGGCUUUCUAAAGUAUGACUUAUAAGUCAGAAACCACAAGAGAAAAUAUUAAUAAGUCCAAUAAUGUUAAAAUUGACUUAGCUAAAUGCAUCAUAAACAAGAUAAAAAAAACAUCAAACUGGAAAGAUGUUUGCAGGCUAUGUCACAGAGGAACGGAUGGUUUCUCUAAUAUAUAAAAAGUUCCAACAAACUGAUAAGAAAAGUGGACAAAGAAUACAAAAAGUCCAUAGAAAAGGAAGUAAAACUGCUUCUUAAGCAUAUGAAAAUUUACUUAGUCUCACGAGUAAGAAACAUAAAUUUUAAAAAACAUGGAGAUAGGCUGGGUGCAAUGGCCCACGCCUGUAAUCCCAGCACUUUGGGAGGCUGCUGCAGGUGGAUCAUUUGAGGUCAGUUUGAAAUCAGACUGGCUAACAUGAUGAAACCCUAUCUCUACUAAAAAUACAAAAAUUAACCAGGCAUGGUGGCAGGUGCCUGUAAUCCCAGCUACUAGGGAGGCAGAGGCAGGAGAAUUGCUUGAAUCUGGGAGGCAGAGGUUGAAGUGAGCCAAGAUUGUGCCACUGUACUCCAGCCUGGGCAACAGAGCAAGACUCCCUCUCAAAAAAAAACCACAAAAAAACAAAAACAAAAAAAGCCAGAAAACCCCCGCAAAACAUGGAGAUAAUCUUUUUCGUUUUUUCUGGGUGGCAAAGAUUAAAAAGUUAGAAAAUGCCAAGAUAGCGAGAGGUGUGUAUGAGUGUGAUAUUGGUGGUAGCGUAAAUUGCUAUAACUCUCUUGGGGGGGAAUUUGGCAAUAUCUUACCAAUAUCCUGCCAAUAUCUUUCUUACUCAUAAGUCAAAACUGUGCUUGUUAAAUCCACAAAUGAUAAUGUUUUUCCAUGUAUAUUGAAGUUUCUUAAGUAGUGUUUUAUAGAAUAAGUUUUCCUAAUACAUCAUUGAAGAGGUUUUCAGGAGCAUAGUUUGAAAAAUACUGACAGGUAUAAUGUAGGAAGUAGUUAGAAUAUAUCUGGGAGCUACCAACACCAUUCAGGUCUAGCUAUAGUGAUGUUUGCUGCCCCUCUUAGGAAGGGAAACCUUUCACAAACCUCCACCUUCAUUUUCUCCUCUUGCAAAUGCUUUUUGGUCAGAAGCAUAAAUGCCAGAGCUGCAAAAGUGAUUCAAAACCCAAGAGAACUCCCUGGGGAUAGUCUGUUCUCUCUGUAGCUGGGACAAGGAGAUGGCAGGCCCUUCUCUUCCCAAGAACCUCCCUGAUGUGCAACGAGAGGCCACAGACUUAUCUUGCAGCAUUAAUUAGGAGAGAUGCAACAUUUGGGGACAAUCUGUUCAAGAAACCCUGCACAGGACACGUUUUCAUCCUGGGCUCUGGGGCUGAUAUGUGCCAGUGGCCUAACUCCACACACCUCGAUGGAAUUCUCUGGCAGAACCGCUCCAAAAUGUGUGGAAAAAUCUGUUUUUCUGGAUUCUCCUUCUUUGCUUCAAG
RNAcentral lists this long non-coding RNA (6694 nucleotides) under Homo sapiens (human). Its description in RNAcentral is "non-protein coding lnc-TK2-3:3". The record is from RNAcentral. Lineage: Eukaryota; Metazoa; Chordata; Mammalia; Primates; Hominidae.